This 567-nucleotide long non-coding RNA is filed under the name Xyrichtys novacula (pearly razorfish). Lineage: Eukaryota; Metazoa; Chordata; Actinopteri; Labriformes; Labridae. The record is from RNAcentral.
GCUUGAAAGGUGCUUUCAAAAUCUUGAUCUCAAACAAAUGCAAGGUCCAAAAGGUGCUUUCAAAAUCUUUAUCUCAAACCAAAAACAAGGUUCUAAUAAGGUGCUUUAAAAGAUGUGAUCUCAAACCCAGAAACAUGGUUCCAAAGGUGCUUUCAAAAUCUUGAUCUCAAACCAAAAAAGGCUUGAAAAGGUGCUUUCAAAAUCUUGAUCUCUAACCAAAAAAGGCUUGAAAGGUGCUUUCAAAAUCUUGAUCUCAAACAAAUGCAGGGUCCAAAAGGUGCUUUCAAAAUCUUUAUCUCAAACCAAAUGCAAGGUCCAAAAGGUGCUUUAAAAAACUUGAUCUCAAACCAAAAACAACAUUCUAAAAAGGUGCUUUAAAAGACUUGUUCUCAAACCCAGAAACAUGGUUCCAAAGGUGCUUUCAAAGACUUGUUCUCAAACAAAAAAGGUUCAAAAGGUGCUUUCAAAGACUUGUUCUCAAACAAAAGGGUUUAAAAGGUGCUUUCAAAGACUUGUUCUCAAACCCAAAAGCAUGGUUCAGAAGGUGCUUUUCAAGGUAUGAUUUCA